RNAcentral lists this transfer RNA (126 nucleotides) under Nanobdellota archaeon. RNAcentral describes it as "tRNA-Gly". It matches the Rfam family "tRNA". Rfam says of the family: Transfer RNA (tRNA) molecules are approximately 80 nucleotides in length. Their secondary structure includes four short double-helical elements and three loops (D, anti-codon, and T loops). RNAcentral also lists the same sequence under 1 other name. The record is from RNAcentral. Lineage: Archaea; Nanobdellati; Nanobdellota.
GCAUCAUUGGUAUAGUGGUAGAACUCUGGCUUCCCAAGCCGGCGACGCGGGUUCGAUUCUACCUUUCUUUUGCAAAAGAAAGGUACAGUAUCAAAGAAAAGCAGAUUGCAAAUCCCGCAUGAUGCA